AUUAUGGUCAGGAUUAAAUCAUCACGCAUAUGAAGAUGUCGGGAUCAGGGCCUGACACCUCGGAGAUGUUCAGCAAACUGUUUCCUUUCCCAAAGCACAUGGAUGGUACCUUUAGAGGCUCUGCAAAUCUUCCUUCCCUUUCGUUUACCCCUGAAGCUUGCUUGACCUGUGAGGCAGCUGGUUGAAACAUCCAGAGGCUUUUUUCUUAUCUGUAAAUUUGACAGUAGGUCCUAGACUCUUGGAGUUUUGGGAUCUGUGAUCUCUAAAAAGAGGCAUCUUACAGCAUAAUUGCAUCCAAAUACAGAUACAGGAGCAUGGAGAGUGUGCCAAUGCUCUACCAAGCAGUCACCCAGUGGACAAGCAUCUAUAAACUUCCUUCAAACCAGAAAGUAGAUUUUUUUUAUGAUUUUAAUUUUUUUUUCCAUUAUAGCUGGUUUAUGGAGAAACUAGAUUUUAAAAAUCCAUUAUUUGGGGGGAAGCAUUUUAAAUGAGAUUUGUCAGGAGUUAUGGAUUUUUUUUCUCAAAAAAAUAACUGCAUUCAUUCAUUCACUCAUUUAUUCUUUACUGAGUGUUGACAGUGGGUUGGUCACCAUGCUAUAAACACUGGAGGUGUAAACACCUAAUCCAGGGUGGAUGGCAGCCCCAUAAACUGUUGACUAGUUAAAUGUAAAUUAAAAGCUGGAAUAGAGGAUAUGAUGCUAUUGGAAUGACUGGUCCAUUGAGACACCUGGGCCAAGGAAAUCCUUGCAGGAAGUACUUGAAUAGUCAAGAGGGCUGGGAAGUGCAUUCGGGCUUCUGGUGCAUCAUUAGAGCUGAGAAAACAUACAAUUCUCCAAAGAUUUGGGAGAAGGGUAAGUGUCACUGGGUGGUGUCAGAGCAGAGAGUGUUGUGUGCUGUUUGCAUGUAAAUGUAUUAGAGUGCUGGUGGGAUAAGAUUCCAACAUUAGAUGCUAUCAGUCAUUGGCUGCCUGCUGUGUUCCAUUGCACUUUGCAUGAUUGUGCCAUUUUGCUUUUGAAGAAACUGAGAUUCUUCAGUUUGACUAAGAGGUCAGGACUAGCCAGUGCUAUACUUGGAAUUCCAUCCCAACUUUCUGGUUCAAAGGCUGCGUUUGAGCUCUACUGACCUCCAAGGCACUGCUUUAACGAGGACACAGAAAGAAUAAAAUAAGGUCGUGCACCCAAGAAACUAGUUGUUAGAGUAAGAUUUAGAUGGGAACAGAAGCUUUGAGAUUUUAGCAAGAUGUGCUCAGUCCCAGCCUGGGGGCAGUUGAGCUGCCAAGUUCAUGGCUGGGAGGAAAUUUGAUGGAGAAGGAGCUUUUGGAAUUAGGUCUUGCAAUAUGAUUAGGGCUUUAGAACACUCAGAAGAGGUAAGGGCACAGCAGUCAAGGAGAACUAGACUCUGGGAAGCACAGACCUAAUUCUGGUUAGGGAAUAAAUCACCUGUCAAGGGUAGGAGUAGGAGUAGAAGAGAUUGGGAAGACUUUUUUGUUUGUUUGUUUGUUGGUUUUUAUGGCUGCACCCAUGACAUGUAGAAGUUCUCAGGCUAGGGGUCGAAUCGGAGCUGCAGCUGCCAGCCUAAGCCGCAGCCACAGCAAUGCUGCAUCUGCAACCUGUACCACAGCUCAUGGCAAUGCUGGAUUCUUAGCCCACUGUGGGGGGCUGCAUCUUUAAGGAUACUAACCAGGUUCUUAACCCGCUGAGCCACAAUGGGAACUCCUGGGAAGGCCUUUUAAACAUGGCUCCAGGACACGAGGCAUUUUGUGCCAGUUCCUUUUUUGACUAAGUGUGACACCUUAGUUAGACAAGGCAUUUGGCCUCCUUUAUUUAAUCUUGUUUUUCCCCCUCAACUGUCAGGAAUGGUCUUGAGAACUGUCAUGAGGUUAAGUCUGACACUAUGAAGAAAGCAGUCAGAAGUCACAGAUGGGAAGGCGCUCUGUCAGCCUAGGGAGUUGUGCUGUAAUGAAUAACAGCAGCAUGGCCCAGAGCAGUAGGUCCCCAUGGCAGGAGGAGGGGAGAUGAGCUUGACUCUCACACCUAUCAGAGACGCCUCUCCAUCAGGCAGCAGACACCUAGCUCAGCCCUGAAACUCAGCUUACAACAAGUGAAACUGUCACUGUUUAAGCUUUCAGUAAUCUAGGGAGAGUUUGGGGCCAUUCAACAUUAUUAGACCACUUUUUGACUGGACCAAUUAAAACACGGAUACGCCACCCUUUGUGCUUUGAGAUACAGGUCAUCCACUUUUGCCUCCCCAGAUCUCAGUUUCCCCGUCGGCAACACAAGGAAGUAGAGGCAGAUGUUCCCUAUGGCUGUCUUCGGAUAUAAUGGUUUGUGACGAUGGCAAAUGACAAUUCAUCCGGGGUCCCCUGUUCCUCAAAAUAUUGUUCCAUGGGAUGCUAUCAUGUAUCAAGCAAAAGUCAAAAUGAAACAAGUAAAAGAAGACAAAGUAACCAGAAAGAGGAAGGGACUCUACUGCCAAAUUGGGUUAAACAAAAUUAGACAGGGCUUUUUACUGAAACCGAUUUGUCUACAUCAUCAUUUCCUCCCAGAGUUAGUGUGCAGCAGAUUAUACUGGGCAAAAUAAUACACUAGGCUUCAUCUAAUGAAUUCAGACCCUUGGCAGUUCUUUUUGAGGCCUGGGACCAAGGGUGAUGCAGUAGAGAAGGCCCUGGACUGGGUGCCUGGUCCCCAGAUAUCCUGUUUGAAGUCGGGAUAUGUCCUCCUCCCUGUUGUGUAACCCUGGACAAGUCACUGCCUCGCCUUCCCUAGAAUUCAAAUGAAUUGGAUGAAACGAUCUCUGAGGCUUCUUCUGGUUCCAGGCGUUUAUGAAUACAAAGUUGUCUGUAGCUUAUGCAUUCAUUCUUUCAUUCACUUAGCAAACGUGCAGAGCAUAUAAUGUGUGCUCACAACUGGAGAAGAUUAAAAAUUCUGUCCACUACCAGCCCUGGAGGAGCUCCCCAGCCCCAUGGACAAGACAGACACAUUCCCAGGCAAUGAGAUUCCAGAGUGACCAGUACCUGUGUCCAAGCAUGGCUCAGAGAGGGCAUCUCAUCAGCCUGGGGGAGGGGGUGGUUAGAAAUGAUUUAGUGGAGAUGCCACCUGAAGGAUGGAUGAAAAUUAAUCUGGUAAUAAAAGGAGCUCUGGUU
This 3142-nucleotide long non-coding RNA is filed under the name Sus scrofa (pig). Its description in RNAcentral is "lncRNA (ENSSSCG00000052997.1)". The record is from RNAcentral. Lineage: Eukaryota; Metazoa; Chordata; Mammalia; Artiodactyla; Suidae.